AGAGCGAACGCUGGCGGCGUGCUUAACACAUGCAAGUCGAGUGCGCGCCUGUAGCAAUACAGGUGGCGCACGGCGCACGGGUGCGUAACACGUGGGUAAUCUGCCCUUCGAUGGGGAAUAACUCCGGGAAACCGAAGCUAAUUCCGCAUAACAUUCCUUGAACUUCGGUUUGGGGACUCAAAGCCGUAAGGCGUCGGAGGAGGAACCCGCGCACGAUUAGCUAGUUGGUAGGGUAACGGCCUACCAAGGCUUUGAUCGUUAGC
RNAcentral lists this ribosomal RNA (263 nucleotides) under uncultured bacterium. RNAcentral describes it as "partial small subunit ribosomal RNA". It matches the Rfam family "Bacterial small subunit ribosomal RNA", at positions 26 to 287 of the family's 1533-position model. The record is from RNAcentral.